AUGACUUUGAAUAGAGUAAGAGUAAGGUUGAAAAUUAAUCACCAAAUACAGAAAAUAAUGUUUUUAUACUAUUUAACAUUUCCCUCUUUUUCUCUUUCUUCCAAUUCCAACCAUUUUCUCAACCUUUUCUCUUGUUGCAAGAUUCCUUCAACCUCUUUUCUCUUGCAACAAUUUCAAAUUCAUCUUCUUCUCACACAUACUAGCUUCAAUUCAAGCUUUUUCUCACAUGAUUUGGUUAACAAAUUGAUAUUUUCAAGGGUGAUUGAUUCCGGGAUCUGUAUAAAGCACAAACCUUUGGCGGAUCUCUGA
Molecule: non-coding RNA, 309 nt
Organism: Vicia faba (fava bean)
Lineage: Eukaryota; Viridiplantae; Streptophyta; Magnoliopsida; Fabales; Fabaceae
Source: the annotation of a GenBank genome assembly